Vulpes vulpes (red fox) is the source of this 658-nucleotide long non-coding RNA. The record is from Ensembl. NCBI's taxonomy places the organism in Eukaryota, Metazoa, Chordata, Mammalia, Carnivora, Canidae.
GAACGCCCAUUUUCAUUAGGAAACAUUCCCAGACUCAAUGCUUAACUUUUCAUAAUAGAAAGGACUAUUUAGUUUUCACAUGCAUCCAGAGCAAGAAAGGAAACUGGAAAACCCAUCCCCAUGGGACCACACCUGGCUAGUGGACUGGCUGUAACUGGAUCUGAAGAGCAACACAGAAGAAGGUCACAUAGCUUCUUGCAGUAAUUGAGGGAAUUCCAUCCUGAUGUGUCUUUCUUGUCCCAAUGUGUGUACUGCAAAAGAGUGGACACCCAUGUAUACCCAGCUGUCUACCAUUAAAGCCUGGGAUGAGGACAUUGUUGGAUGGGGUCUCAGGCUACACUGGGGGACUUUCUUCAGACCAGUUCAAAAAGAACUCUGCCUAGCUUUCUCAACAAAAAUCUGUACAGAAGAUUAUUUAAAGUCUUCACCAAUGUCUCCAAUGAAUAGAAUGCUAAACUCCAACUUUUUAAUGUCCUAUCCUAAGGAAAUACCAUGUCUGAAAGGCAUUCAUGUAUGUCUUACUGUGACCCUACACAUUUCUUCCCAGGCUUUGUGGCUAGUGGUGGAAGGUGGCUGGAGCCAAAUGCAGAAAGUCCAGGUGCUAGCUUUGUUCAUUCCCAGGAUCAUUAGUGUCUGCAAAGCCUGUGAGACUGCAUAA